CCUCUACCGCCGCCGCCGCUGCUGCACACGGGUCUUAAGUUUCACCCGGCGAGAUAGAGCGGUCCUGUACCAGCCACCAUCUUGUUUAGUCUUCGGUCCGUGUUGGUGCCUAUGACUUACAUAGAGUCCUUUCCGCUCUUGAACAACCCUCAAUAAAUUGAGAUUUAACAUA
Non-coding RNA from Microcebus murinus (gray mouse lemur), 172 nucleotides. The record is from RefSeq and is a predicted model, not a curated record. Lineage: Eukaryota; Metazoa; Chordata; Mammalia; Primates; Cheirogaleidae.